GCUCAUGCCUAUAGUCCCAGCUACUCAGGAGGCUGAGACAGGAGGAUAGCCUGAGUCCAGGAGUUCUGGGCUAUAGUGCACUAUGCCAAUCGGUUGUCCUCACCAAGUUUAGCAUCAAUAUGGUGACCUACUGGGAGCGGGGGGCCACCAGGUUGCCUAAGGAGGGGUGAACCGGCCCAGGUAGGAAAUGGAGCAGGUCAAAACUCCCAUGCUGAUCAGAUGUGGGAUCGAGCCUGUGAAAGCCACUGCACUCCAGCCUGAGCAACAGAGCAAGACCCAUCUCUU
This is a non-coding RNA of Otolemur garnettii (small-eared galago), 285 nucleotides long. The record is from Rfam. Lineage: Eukaryota; Metazoa; Chordata; Mammalia; Primates; Galagidae.